Molecule: long non-coding RNA, 386 nt
Organism: Pygocentrus nattereri (red-bellied piranha)
Lineage: Eukaryota; Metazoa; Chordata; Actinopteri; Characiformes; Serrasalmidae
Source: Ensembl
UGUGUAUAUGAAGUCUGUCUUUGGAUUUCUUAGUUAAUUUCUCAAUGUACCAUAUUUGAACAGGUUAGGGAGGACACAGUUUCCAAGAGUAACAUCAAAGAGAGUCAGCCACCAUCCCUGUCAGAACCUGUUCUGUCUACUUGUUCCUCAGCAAGUGAUCAGGUUAGGGAGGACACAGUUUCCAGGAGUAACAUCAAAGAGAGUCAGCCACCAUCCCUGUCAGAACCUGUUCUUUCUACUUGUUCCUCAGCAAGUGAUCAGGUUAGGGAGGACACGGUUUCCAGGAGUAACAUCAAAGAGAGUCAGCCACCAUCCCUGUCAGAACCUGUUCUUUCUACUUGUUCCUCAGCAAGUGAUCAGGUAAGCCUCUUUUGGUCAUUGACAGG